Molecule: long non-coding RNA, 1219 nt
Organism: Oreochromis aureus
Lineage: Eukaryota; Metazoa; Chordata; Actinopteri; Cichliformes; Cichlidae
Source: Ensembl
GCAGGAAGUGAUGUCACUCUGCGCUGCAGACAGAGUAAUGGUGACAUCAUCACAGCCUAUUUCCUCUUUAAUGGAAGUCUUGUUGGAAAUAAAAAUAAAUCAGAGUUCAUCAUCACAAACGUCCAGCAGUCUGAUGAAGGUCUCUACUCCUGUGCUACUGAUGUGUUUGGAGAAUCUCCUCCGGGCUUUCUGAGGGUCAGAGGUCAGAACAAUGACAUCACUUCCUGUUUAAAAACAUGAACUAACCUGAGCUGAAAAUAAACAGGCUGAACCAUCUUCAUCAUGUCUCCUACAGAUCCUUCUGCUCAUCUCCACACCCGCACCUCCUCUAAUCCUGUGAACUCUCCUGCUCUUGUUUCUCCUGUAACAGACUCCUCCGCUCCUCCCUCCUCCUCCUCCAUCCUCGUUCCGGUUGUAGCAAGUCUGGUUUCCGUGGUUCUUCUGGUUUUGGUGGUUUGGGGAGUUCUCUGGAGGAAACAGAAAGCAGCGCUCCACUCCUCCUCUCCUGUACAUGUGAACUGCAGUGACGUCACCAUCACACAGAGAGACAACAGGAGAGGUAAAAGUCCUGAUGAUCCAGAUGUUAUCUACUCUGAUGUGAGGACUCGCACUUCAGGCCCUGAUGAUGUUGUUUACCGUGAGGUGAUCUUCAGAAGGUAGAGGAAAGCUGGUGAGACAACAGGAAGCUGAGGACACACUCGGUCUGAUGGACGACCUUCAUCCUUCACUCUGCUCCUCUUCUUCUCUUUGUGUCUCCUGAAACUCAGUUAUUUGAUUGUUCAUCAUGAAGAGCUGCACAAAACAUUUUAAACUUUUUAGGAUUUUCUGUUUCUAUGCAGAUAUGAUCUGAUGGAAAAUAUAAAAAAUAUAUAUCAAUAACAUUUAAACAAAUAAAUCAUUCAGUAAAAUGAGCCUCAGUCUCAGGAUGUUUUUAAUAAUUCAGUUACACACAGACAGUCAGUGACGGCUCCUCUCCUCAGCUUUCCUGCUGCCAUCAGAUGCUUGUUGUUGGAAAUCUCACUCCUCAUGCACUGGUAUGAUCAGCACUUGGUGACAGUAGGAAGGAAGAACUCCCUUUAACCUGAAGAAUGUUUUACUUUUAACAUCUUUCUGUAUGAUUGUCAGUGUUUUAUGUUACUGCAUGAUUGCUUUUCUUUCAUCUUUCAAGUCUCAUGUAUUGAAUAAAAUCCCCGAAACCCAUAAAAUAAAAUCAUGUCUG